This 23-nucleotide microRNA is filed under the name Branchiostoma floridae (Florida lancelet). Its description in RNAcentral is "bfl-miR-4858-5p". The record is from miRBase by way of RNAcentral. Lineage: Eukaryota; Metazoa; Chordata; Leptocardii; Amphioxiformes; Branchiostomatidae.
CAUUAUUGAAUUCGAAACGGUGA